Non-coding RNA from Dendronephthya gigantea, 72 nucleotides. The record is from the annotation of a RefSeq genome assembly. NCBI's taxonomy places the organism in Eukaryota, Metazoa, Cnidaria, Anthozoa, Malacalcyonacea, Nephtheidae.
GCAUUGGUGGUUCAGUGGUAGAAUUCUCACCUGCCAUGCGGGAUACCCGGGUUCGAUUCCCCGGCUAAUGCA